Molecule: long non-coding RNA, 204 nt
Filed under: Lathyrus oleraceus (garden pea)
Lineage: Eukaryota; Viridiplantae; Streptophyta; Magnoliopsida; Fabales; Fabaceae
Description: Pisum sativum (pea) long non-coding RNA (PSAT_LNC031979)
Source: RNAcentral
CCUUAAGACUUAAACUAUCCCUUCAUUUAAGGAUACAUAUCACAUUCAUUCGUCAAUUAUACACUAACACAACAACACAAAACAAAAUUCAUCUUUCUUCCUUUAUUUUUUCUUAAUUUUUUUAUUAUUCAUUUUCAAACCCUGAUUUUAAUUUUCCCAUUUUUUCUAUUAUUAUUUUGAAUCUAGGUGCUCCCUCACUUCCUC